This 471-nucleotide ribosomal RNA is filed under the name uncultured alpha proteobacterium 400m-FREE-18. RNAcentral describes it as "partial 16S ribosomal RNA". Lineage: Bacteria; Pseudomonadati; Pseudomonadota; Alphaproteobacteria. The record is from RNAcentral.
GGUUACCUUGUUACGACUUCACCCCAGUCGCUGAUCGUACCGUAGUCAAAGGUUUUAUGCUUUGCCUUGAGGUGUAACCAACUUCCAUGGUGUGACGGGCGGUGUAUACAAGACCCGGGAACGUAUUCACCGUGGCGCGCUGAUCCACGAUUACUAGCAAUUCCAGCUUCAUGUACUCGAGUUGCAGAGUACAAUCCGAACUGAGGUACCUUUUUGGGAUUGGCUUAGAGUCGCCUCUUAGCAUCCCAUUGUAAGUACCAUUGUAGCACGUGUGUAGCCCAACUCAUAUGGGCCAUGAGGACUUGACGUCAUCCCCACCUUCCUCCAGUUUAUCACUGGCAGUUCUUUUAGAGUGCUCAACUAAAUGGUGGCAACUAAAAGUGAGGGUUGCGCUCGUUGCGGGGACUUAACCCAACAUCUCACGACACGAGCUGACGACAGCCAUGCAGCACUGUGUUUCGUCCAGCCGAA